CCGGCCUCUUCUGCCUGAGGCCCCGGCCCUUCUAGAGGCCUGGAGCUGGGACCCCGUCCUGGGAAGCCUACGCCACAGAAAAACAACCCCAAAAGCAAGACUGGCGCAAGUGAUACAAACAUCAGUCCUGAUUCUGUCUCACAUUGGAGUAAAUCAGGAGUAACUCCAUUGAAGUUAAUGGAGUUGUACUGAUGUGAAACCAGUUGCUGUAGCUCCAAGAAUGCUGACGACAUUCAGCAAACAUCAGACAACAAUCAUCGAAAUAGGCUCAUAUGUACAUGUAGUUACCGUUUUAUGAAGUUAGCAAACAGUAUGCGAUGGGAAUAACCCUGUCUCCGAAUUCUUGCCGUCUCCAGAAUUCCCGUAUAGCGUAGCUGUACCAGUACCUUCUCUUUGUCAUACUUGUGUGCCUGCCGAUCAUUGUUUGGCUUGAUGCAACGGACAAAAUGAGGCUGGCCAACCACCAUCUUGGAUAAUAAAUCCAUCAGAGAAUACUUCAAGAAAACGGAGAAACAUUUUCUGUUGUGAUACAUAAAAGCCUCCUAUUGUACAAGAGCA
Molecule: long non-coding RNA, 558 nt
Organism: Mauremys reevesii (Reeves's turtle)
Lineage: Eukaryota; Metazoa; Chordata; Testudines; Geoemydidae
Exons: 3
Source: RefSeq, a predicted model, not a curated record